CCUACGGGGGGCAGCCGUGGGGGAUCUUGCACAGUUUGUGGAGCCCUGAUGCAGCGACGCCGCGUGGGUGAAGGAGCGUUUCGGCGCGUAAAGCCCUAUCGGCAGGGAAGAAGAUGACGGUAUCUGACCAAGAAGCCCCGGCUAACUACGUGCCAGCAGCCGCGGUAAUACGUAGGGGGCAAGCGUUAUCCGGAUUUACUGGGUGUAAAGGGGGCGCAGACGUCCAUGCAAGCCAGGAGUGAAAGACCGGGGCCCAACCCCGG
Molecule: ribosomal RNA, 263 nt
Filed under: uncultured bacterium
Lineage: Bacteria
Description: partial 16S ribosomal RNA
Rfam family: Bacterial small subunit ribosomal RNA
Source: RNAcentral